Molecule: transfer RNA, 100 nt
Filed under: Streptomyces poonensis
Lineage: Bacteria; Bacillati; Actinomycetota; Actinomycetes; Kitasatosporales; Streptomycetaceae
Description: tRNA-Ala
Source: RNAcentral
GCUGGCCCUGGGGGAGCUGGACCAUCCGGACGUGGUCCGCUGCAACGAGGAGAUGGCCGCCCGGAUCCCCGGCUGCCGUUCGGUCCGCCUGGCCGCCUCC